GUGCUCCGUUCACUCCCAACCCCUGUGACAUACCACUUGUUGCCUCGGCGGAUCAGCCCGCUCCCGGUAAAACGGGACGGCCCGCCAGAGGACCCCUAAACUCUGUUUCUAUAUGUAACUUCUGAGUAAAACCAUAAAUAAAUCAAAACUUUCAACAACGGAUCUCUUGGUUCUGGCAUCGAUGAAGAACGCAGCAAAAUGCGAUAAGUAAUGUGAAUUGCAGAAUUCAGUGAAUCAUCGAAUCUUUGAACGCACAUUGCGCCCGCCAGUAUUCUGGCGGGCAUGCCUGUUCGAGCGUCAUUUCAACCCUCAAGCACAGCUUGGUGUUGGGACUCGCGUUAAUUCGCGUUCCUCAAAUUGAUUGGCGGUCACGUCGAGCUUCCAUAGCGUAGUAGUAAAACCCUCGUUACUGGUAAUCGUCGCGGCCACGCCGUUAAACCCCAACUUCUGAAUGUUGACCUCGGAUCAGGUAGGAAUACCCGCUGAACUUAAGCAUAUCAAUAAGGCGCGGAAUAUUAAC
RNAcentral lists this ribosomal RNA (520 nucleotides) under Fusarium oxysporum. RNAcentral's name for it is "eukaryotic LSU rRNA". The stretch from base 147 to 300 matches the Rfam family "5.8S ribosomal RNA". The record is from RNAcentral. Lineage: Eukaryota; Fungi; Ascomycota; Sordariomycetes; Hypocreales; Nectriaceae.